This 460-nucleotide ribosomal RNA is filed under the name uncultured bacterium. RNAcentral describes it as "partial 16S ribosomal RNA". It matches the Rfam family "Bacterial small subunit ribosomal RNA", at positions 338 to 795 of the family's 1533-position model. The record is from RNAcentral.
CCUACGGGUGGCAGCAGUGAGGAAUAUUGGUCAAUGGACGAGAGUCUGAACCAGCCAAGUAGCGUGAAGGAUGACUGCCCUAUGGGUUGUAAACUUCUUUUAUAUGGGAAUAAAAUGUUCCACGUGUGGGAUUUUGUAUGUACCAUAUGAAUAAGGAUCGGCUAACUCCGUGCCAGCAGCCGCGGUAAUACGGAGGAUCCGAGCGUUAUCCGGAUUUAUUGGGUUUAAAGGGAGCGUAGGUGGAUUGUUAAGUCAGUUGUGAAAGUUUGCGGCUCAACCGUAAAAUUGCAGUUGAAACUGGCAGUCUUGAGGACAGUAGAGGUGGGCGGAAUUCGUGGUGGAGCGGUGAAAUGCUUAGAUAUCACGAAGAACUCCGAUUGCGAAGGCAGUUCACUGGACUGCAACUGACACUGAGGCUCGAAAGUGUGGGUAUCAAACAGGAUUAGAUACCCUUGUAGUC